CCCGCCUCCUCCCUCGUCUUUUCCGGACUCCGCGGGAGCCAUUAGGUGCCCAGAGUCUCCUGAGAAAGUAGAGGGCGCGCCCGGGAGGCUGCGCUGCUGUCAGACGUGUCCAUCACCACAUGUGACAUUAAUGACAUCAUCCUGAUCUCACAGGAUCCCAGAAUAAUGAUGCUUGAAGGAUUUUCCAAAGUCAUCUACUUGCAACUCUGUUGAAAACUUUAAAGACAUUGGCCUGAAAGUUUCAGUGACUUGUCCAGGGAAACCCGGUUUGUGACAGAGUCAGAAGGAAAACUGCAGUUCUCUCUCAGAUAGUCACCAAAAGCAUCUUAUCAAAGGGGCCUUCUGAGGAAUACAUCCCAGCUGAAAUGAACAAUUAAAAAUUCCUGCCUUCAAGCAUCCCGUCUGUUUUCUGUGUAUUUUCUGUACCAAAACCUGAGCCACAGUUCUCUACACUCGCCCAGGAGCCACAGAAAGUGAACAUCCCUCAGCAGAGAUCUCCGGUCUGGAGUGUGUAUACUCUGCAGAGUGCUCAGCAUAAUCCAUUGGUGUAUGGGAAAUAUAUACAAGAAUCCUAUUUAUAAUAACUUUACCUAAAAAAGUGUCAGUGUCAUUCAAGCACGUGCCUGUGGAGUUCCCCAGGAGGAGUGGCCGCAGGUGGAGUCUGCACAGAGGACCCUGUACAGAGACGUGGUGAAGCUGGAGAACUACAGUUGCCUUGUCUGGUGGGUGAGCAGACCUUACCAUGUGACUCCCUUUAGUCUGCAGAUUUUGUGUUUUCUUUUUUAACUAUUAACCAAUUUUGUCGAGGUGUGUAUAAGAAAAAAUAAAACUCAGCACUUUUCAGUGUACAAGUGAGUGCGUUUUCAAAAAUGAUAUAGUAGAUGACCAUCAUCAAAAUCAUGAUUUGGAAUAUUUCCAUCAUGCCAAAAACAUUCUUGUACUACUUUGCGGUAAGUCCCCUCCCUCCACCCCUACCUCUCAGAUGCCUGAGAGCAAUCACUGGUCUGUUUUCUAUUGCGGUAGUUUUGCCUUUUCUCCACUUUCAUAUCAAUGGAAUCACAGACUCUUUUUGUACAUGAGAAAGAUUGGCUCUGAGCUAACAUCUGUGCCAAUCUUCCUCUAUUUUAUGUGGGAUGCCACCACAGCGUGGCUUGAUGAGUGGUGCUAGGUCCAUGCCUGGUAUCCGAACCCAUGAACCCCAGGCCACCAAAGCAGAGCAAACUUAACCACUAUGCCACUGGGCCAGCCCCGAGUAUAGACUGUCUUUUGUCUGGCUUCUUUUACUCAGCAGAAUGCUUUUGAGAGUCCUGUACGUGUGUGAAUCACUAGUUUCUUCUUUCUGUUCUGAGUAGUGUUCCCUUGUGUGCAUAAACCACAGUUUGUUUUCCUUUCAGUUGAUGGACACAUGGGAUUUUUUUCCAUUUGGGGCGAUUAUGAAUAAAACUUCAAUGAAUAUUUACAUACAGUUUUUUGUGUUGACACGUUUUCAUUGCUUGUAUAAGCACCUAGGAGUGGGCUUGCUGGGUCUUCUGGUAAGUUCAUAUGUAACUGUGUGAGACGCUACGAAUGUGUCCAAGCUGGCUCAACUGUUUUUCAUGCCUAUAAGCAAUGUCUGAGUUUUCUCAUUGCUCUCUCGUUACCAACAGAUGCUUUGGUAAGUCUUAAUAUUUUUAACCAUUCUGGUUAGUGUCUGGUUCUAUCUUACUGAGUUUUAAUUUGUGUUUCCUUGGUGAAUGUGUUGAACUUCUUUUCAUUUGCUUUUUAACCAUUUAUAAUCUCCUUUAAUUAAGUGUCUGAUCAAAUAUUUAGCCCAUUUUUUACUGUGUUUACUUUGUUUUGGUCUUAUUGUUGAGUUGAAGAAGUUCAGACCUUUAUCAAAUAUAUUUUUGCAAACCUUUUUCUCCAUCUCUAGCUUGCCUUUAAGAAGAAAAAGUUUUCAGGUUGCUUUUGGCUUUUACAUAUACUCUUUAAAUAACUUUUUAUGUGACAUAAUUGAUUCACAGGAAUUAGCACAGUUGUAUCCUUCACAAGUUUCCCCCACUGGUUAUGUCUUAGAUAACCAUAAUAUAGUCUCAACAGCAGUAAACAGACACUGGUACAAUGUGUGUGAAUAGCUUAGUGCCAUUUUAUCACAUGUGGAGAUGGGUGUAACCACCACCACAAUCAAGAUACAGAAUUCUUCUAUCACCACAAAGGGUUCUCUCGUGCUGCCUCUUUAUAAUCAUACCCGUCCUUCUCCCACACCUUCGCUAAUCCUGCCCACUACUUAUUAGGUCUUCAGCUCUAUAAUUUUUCCCUUUCAAGGACAUUAUAUAAAUGGAAUCAUAGAGUAUUUGAUGUGAGAUUGAGAUCAAUCCAAGUUGUAGUGUGUAUCACUUGUUUAUUUCUUUUAUUACUACACAGUGUUCCACUGUGUGAAUGUGUUGUAGUUUGUUUAGCCAUUCAUCUGUUGAAGAACUUCUUGGUUCUUUCUUGUCUUGGGCUUUAGUGAAUAAAGCUGCUGUGAACGUUCAUGUUCAGGUUUUUGGGUGAACAUAAAUUAUUGUUUCUCUGGGAUAAAUGCCCAGGAGUGUGAUUGGUGUUGUAUGGCAAGUAUAUAUUUUGUUCUUUAAGAAACUGCCAAACUAUUUUUCAGAGUGGCAGUACCAUUUUGCAUUUCCACCCGCACUGUAUGAGAAAUCCAGUUACUUUCUGUCCUUCCUAGUACUUGGUACUGCCACUAUUUUUUGUAUUUGUGGUUGUAAUAGGUGUAUAGUGAUAUCUCCUCAUGGUCUUAAUUUGCAUUUCCUUAAUGGCUAGUGAUGUUAAAUAUCUUUUCAUGUGUUCAUAUGCCAUCUAUAUAUCCUUAGACAGUAAGAUGUCUGUUCAUGGCUUUUGUGCUUUUUUUCCAUCUUUAUUGACACAUAAUGACAAAUAAAAAUUGUAUAUAUUUCAAGUGUACAACUUGAUCUUUUGAUAUAGGUAUACAUUAUGAAUUAAUUGCCACCAUCAAGCUAAUUAACAUAUCCAUCACCUGACAUAGUUACCUUUAUUUCUUUGUGGUGAAAAUACUUAAGAUCUAUCCUCUUGGUAAAUGUCAGGAAUAUAGUACAGUACUGUUAGCUAUAGUCACAUUGCUGUACAUGAGAUCUUCAUAGCUUACUCAUCUUGCAUAACUGAACUUUGUGUCCCCAUUUCCCAUGUCUGCAGCCCCUGGAAACCACCAUUCUACUUUCUGUUUCUGUGAGUUUGACUGUUUUAGAUUGCACUGAGAUCCCACAGUAUUUAUCUUUCUGUGACUGGCUUAUUUCCCUUAGUGUAAUGGCCUCAAAGUUUAUCCAUGUUGGUGCAAAUGUCAGGAUUUCUGUCCUUUCUUUUUGGCUGAAUAAUAUUCCAUUGUGGAUAUAUAUACCACAUCUUCUUUACUCAUUCAUCCGUCAGCAGACAUUUAGAUUAUUACCGUAUCUUGGCUGUUGUGAUUAAUGCUACAAUGAACGUGGGAGUGCAGAUAUCUCUUUGAGAUCUUGAUUUUUUUUUCCCUUUGGAUAUAUACCCACAAGUGGAAUUGGUGGAUCAUAGGGUAGUUUUAUUUUUAGGUGUUUUUUUUUUUUAUUUUAUUUUUUCCUUUUUCUCCCCAAAGCCCCCCAGUACAUAGUUGUAUAUUCUUCAUUGUGGGUCCUUCUAGUUGUGGCAUGUGGGACGCUGCCUCAGCGUGGUUUGAUGAGCAGUGCCUUGUCCGUGCCCAGGAUUGGAACCAACGAAACACUGGGCCUCCUGCAGCGGAGUGCGUGAACUUAACCUCUCGGCCACGGGGCCAGCCCCUUACUUUUAGUUUUUUGAAGAACCUUCAUACUGUCUUCCAGAUGGCUCUACCAAUGGAGAUUCCCAUCAACAGUGUCCAAGGAUUCUGUUUUCUCCACAUCCUCACCAAUACUUGUUGUCUUUUGUCUUUUGGUAAUCACCAUUCUCUAAGGUGUGAGGUGAUAUCUCACUGUGUUUUUGAUUUGCAUUUCGCUGAGGAUUAGUGAUGUUGAGCAUAUUUUCAUAAACUUGUUGGCCAUUUGUAUAGCUUUUGAGAAAUGUCAACCUAGAUCCUUUGCCUCCUUUUUUAAUCUGGUUAUUUGCUUUUUAGCUAUUGAGUUGUAUGAUUUCCUUAUGUAUUUUGGAUAUUAACCCUUAUAAUUAUUAUUAUAAUUUGCACAUAUUUUCUCCCGGUGUCUAAGUUGCCUUUUCACUCCGUUGAUUAUUUCCUUGGCUGUACAGAAACGUUUUACUUUGAUGCAAUCUCACUUGUUUAUUUUGGCUUUUAUUGCCUGUACUUUUGGUGUCAUAUCCAAAAACCAUUCCCAAGACUGAUAUCAAGGAGGUUUUUCCCUCUGUUUUCUUCUAGGAGUUGCCAAAGUCAACAAUGAGUUCCUUACAGCUAAACCUGAUAGACACCUUUCCAUCUUUGUCUCACUUGACCUCACAGCAGCUGUGGAUGAUGAUAACAUCCUCUUGGAGACACUCUACUAAACUUUGAGAACUCAGUAGUCUCCUGGUUUUUCUCCUGUGUAUGUUCAGUUGUAGUACAUUGUCUUGGAUUUUACAAAGGUGCCCAAAACUCAGCACUCCUCAACUAAACUCGCAGUCUUUCUCUGCAGAUACUUUUUCUCCUACGUCCUCCUUCAAAAUGAAUGCCUCCAAUUUGCAUGGAUGCUAAAGCUAAAGACUCAAGCAACAUCUUUGAAUCUUCCCUCUCCCUUAGUAUCCAAUCUCUCAUCCCACCACCAACCAGUCAGUGCUGAUUAUUACAGUCUCUAAACAGCUCUCAAGUAGUUUCACUUUUCUGCAUCCUUUCUGAAACCACCCUAGUCCUAGUAACCAGCCAAAUAACUGAAUUAUCUUAAUGACCUCAGGCUUCUGAGCCUCGAUAUCCGGCUUCCUAAAAUGGGGCAGUUAGAAUGAACACCAAGUUUCUUCCUUCUCUAUAUUCUGUGAUUAUAAGAAUUUAAAGCUAAGGAGAGGCUCAGGGCAAAACCAAUUCCAGUGCUUUGGGAGACGAUCUCACUUUCUCCAUUUAUUUAUUUAUUUAUUCAUUAAUUUUUGUAUCCUUUCUUCCUUGCUUCCUUAAUCCCUCCCUCUGUCUCAGAGCAUGCAAACUUAACUACUCAGCUGUGGGGCCAGCCCCACACUUUCUCCAUUUAAAUUAACUCUUGGGGUGACCGAGACUGUGCCUCAUAUCCUCCCAUAGCACUGCUUUAUAGGAGAGUCUCAGGGUCUUCAUGACAACUUAUAAUGAGGCUCUUUUUCUUAAAUAGGAAUCUGCUUUAUGCCACGUUUUGGACUCUAGAAAAUAUUUUGAAAUCAGAUUCUAAUGUUGGUAACAGCUUUACCUUGCUUUGUUAAUUUGUCUGAAAGCUCCUGUUGAAAAUAAAUGUCACAUGUGGAACAAAAAAGUCCUCUGUAAAAAUUUAGUCCAUCUUUGUUCACUCCCUCUUGAGAGUAUAGAAAAAAACCUGCAUAACAGGAGAAUGUUGAUGGAGAUUAGGGUGGGGGCAGUGAUGAUGGAGUUUGGUUGUUUUUCAGCAGUAGUAAGGUCAAAAUAAAAGCAUAAUAAAAGAAGAGUAAAAGAUUUAGGUCAGAGCUUUCUAUGAAAAAAAUUAAAAACCAUAAGCAGAUGGAAAAAGUUGCAAUACAAUAUGGCAGAUUCCACUAAUCAGUUUAAUAGACAGCCAUUUUAAUAGCAGA
RNAcentral lists this long non-coding RNA (5709 nucleotides) under Equus asinus (donkey). RNAcentral's name for it is "lncRNA (ENSEASG00005031966.1)". The record is from RNAcentral. Lineage: Eukaryota; Metazoa; Chordata; Mammalia; Perissodactyla; Equidae.